CAGCUUCCACCAAGGGCCCAUCGGUCUUCCCCCUGGCGCCCUGCUCCAGGAGCACCUCUGGGGGCACAGCGGCCCUGGGCUGCCUGGUCAAGGACUACUUCCCAGAACCGGUGACGGUGUCGUGGAACUCAGGCGCCCUGACCAGCGGCGUGCACACCUUCCCGGCUGUCCUACAGUCCUCAGGACUCUACUCCCUCAGCAGCGUGGUGACCGUGCCCUCCAGCAGCUUGGGCACCCAGACCUACACCUGCAACGUGAAUCACAAGCCCAGCAACACCAAGGUGGACAAGAGAGUUGAGCUCAAAACCCCACUUGGUGACACAACUCACACAUGCCCACGGUGCCCAGCCCAAAUCUUGUGACACACCUCCCCCGUGCCCACGGUGCCCAGAGCCCAAAUCUUGUGACACACCUCCCCCAUGCCCACGGUGCCCAGCCCAAAUCUUGUGACACACCUCCCCCGUGCCCAAGGUGCCCAGCACCUGAACUCCUGGGAGGACCGUCAGUCUUCCUCUUCCCCCCAAAACCCAAGGAUACCCUUAUGAUUUCCCGGACCCCUGAGGUCACGUGCGUGGUGGUGGACGUGAGCCACGAAGACCCCGAGGUCCAGUUCAAGUGGUACGUGGACGGCGUGGAGGUGCAUAAUGCCAAGACAAAGCCGCGGGAGGAGCAGUACAACAGCACGUUCCGUGUGGUCAGCGUCCUCACCGUCCUGCACCAGGACUGGCUGAACGGCAAGGAGUACAAGUGCAAGGUCUCCAACAAAGCCCUCCCAGCCCCCAUCGAGAAAACCAUCUCCAAAACCAAAGCCCCGAGAACCACAGGUGUACACCCUGCCCCCAUCCCGGGAGGAGAUGACCAAGAACCAGGUCAGCCUGACCUGCCUGGUCAAAGGCUUCUACCCCAGCGACAUCGCCGUGGAGUGGGAGAGCAGCGGGCAGCCGGAGAACAACUACAACACCACGCCUCCCAUGCUGGACUCCGACGGCUCCUUCUUCCUCUACAGCAAGCUCACCGUGGACAAGAGCAGGUGGCAGCAGGGGAACAUCUUCUCAUGCUCCGUGAUGCAUGAGGCUCUGCACAACCGCUUCACGCAGAAGAGCCUCUCCCUGUCUCCGGGUAAAUGAGUGCGACGGCCGGCAAGCCCCCGCUCCCCGGGCUCUCGGGGUCGCGCGAGGAUGCUUGGCACGUACCCCGUGUACAUACUUCCCGGGCACCCAGCAUGGAAAUAAAGCACCCAGCGCUGCCCUGGGCCCCUGCG
Molecule: long non-coding RNA, 1261 nt
Filed under: Homo sapiens (human)
Lineage: Eukaryota; Metazoa; Chordata; Mammalia; Primates; Hominidae
Description: long non-coding RNA NONHSAT169790.1
Source: RNAcentral